This 377-nucleotide unclassified non-coding RNA is filed under the name soil metagenome. Its description in RNAcentral is "partial contains 5.8S ribosomal RNA, internal transcribed spacer 2, and large subunit ribosomal RNA". The stretch from base 1 to 120 matches the Rfam family "5.8S ribosomal RNA", at positions 35 to 154 of the family's 154-position model. The record is from RNAcentral.
GAUGAAGAACGUAGCGAAAUGCGAUAAGUAAUGUGAAUUGCAGAAUUCAGUGAAUCAUCGAAUCUUUGAACGCAUCUUGCGCUUCUUGGUAUUCUGAGGAGCAUGCCUGUUUGAGUGUCAUUAAAUUCUCAACCGCACUGACUUUGAAUUGGUGUGGCUUGGAUUUGGGGGGAAAAUUGUUGUGGGCUUUUUUGUAUAGUCUGCUCCCCUGAAAUUGAUUAGCGGUACCUUUGUGGAACUGUCUACAGGUGUGAUAAUUAUCUACAUCUUAAACAUCUGCUGGAAUGCUGCUUUCUAAACCUUACUUGUAUUGACAAUCUUGACCUCAAAUCAGGUAGGACUACCCGCUGAACUUAAGCAUAUCAAUAAGCGGAGGA